This 800-nucleotide ribosomal RNA is filed under the name uncultured Arthrobacter sp. RNAcentral describes it as "bacterial SSU rRNA". It matches the Rfam family "Bacterial small subunit ribosomal RNA", at positions 70 to 880 of the family's 1533-position model. Lineage: Bacteria; Bacillati; Actinomycetota; Actinomycetes; Micrococcales; Micrococcaceae. The record is from RNAcentral.
ACUUUUGUGCUUGCACAGAAUGAUUAGUGGCGAACGGGUGAGUAACACGUGAGUAACCUGCCCCUGACUCUGGGAUAAGCCUGGGAAACUGGGUCUAAUACCGGAUAUGCACCGUGGACCGCAUGGUUUUUGGUGGAAAGAUUUUUUGGUCAGGGAUGGACUCGCGGCCUAUCAGCUUGUUGGUGAGGUAAUGGCUCACCAAGGCGACGACGGGUAGCCGGCCUGAGAGGGUGACCGGCCACACUGGGACUGAGACACGGCCCAGACUCCUACGGGAGGCAGCAGUGGGGAAUAUUGCACAAUGGGCGAAAGCCUGAUGCAGCGACGCCGCGUGAGGGAUGACGGCCUUCGGGUUGUAAACCUCUUUCAGUAGGGAAGAAGCGAAAGUGACGGUACCUGCAGAAGAAGCGCCGGCUAACUACGUGCCAGCAGCCGCGGUAAUACGUAGGGCGCAAGCGUUAUCCGGAAUUAUUGGGCGUAAAGAGCUCGUAGGCGGUUUGUCGCGUCUAUCGUGAAAGUCCGAGGCUCAACCUCGGAUCUGCGGUGGGUACGGGCAGACUAGAGUGAUGUAGGGGAGACUGGAAUUCCUGGUGUAGCGGUGAAAUGCGCAGAUAUCAGGAGGAACACCGAUGGCGAAGGCAGGUCUCUGGGCAUUAACUGACGCUGAGGAGCGAAAGCAUGGGGAGCGAACAGGAUUAGAUACCCUGGUAGUCCAUGCCGUANACGUUGGGCACUAGGUGUGGGGGACAUUCCACNUUUUCCGCGCCGUAGCUAACGCAUUAAGUGCCCCGCCUGGGGAG